GGCAGGAGGAGAAGGGGACGACAGAGGAUGAGAUGGUUGGAUGGCAUCACCGACUCAAUGUGGAAUGGUCUAUACUCGGACCGGUGACUGGAUAAAGGUGUGCCCCUUUGCUUUCCUAAAAGGAAACUUUGUGGUUAAUCUAAAUAUUUCUCUAUUAUUGCAUGUUAGAUCUAUUGGUGGCAGUCAAGUUAUAAAGAGGUUGCAGGAUCCACAUUUAGAUUGCACUGAACUAGAUGAAGAAGGGGCGUGUCCAUGCCAUGUUGUUGCUCUGGAUGCAGUAGCUGCAAGUGAUUGGCAGUUGUCCACAGAUUGUUAGGUGUGGGCAUUUUGGAAUUGUAGAUAUGGGGGAAAUGGCAUAUGUGUUUAUAGGGCAAUCAAAAGGAGGACUGUAUGUAAACAUCUAUUUUGUCUCUUCUAUACCCCUUUGCUACCCUUUUCUCUACCUUACUCUCAUGGUUGCAUCGGGAGCCAUUCUUUAUGUAUCUUCCCAGAGAAUUUGGGAUUGAGCUGGAGGAGGAAAGAUGAAAAAUCCUGGCUGCAUUUCAGUACCUAAUUUAUUUGUUCCUAAGGGCCAUCUGCAUUAUCCUUGUGUUUUGUGAGAUACCAGCAACUUUAUAAUAAAUUCCUCUUUUUGUUUAA
Molecule: long non-coding RNA, 639 nt
Organism: Bubalus bubalis (water buffalo)
Lineage: Eukaryota; Metazoa; Chordata; Mammalia; Artiodactyla; Bovidae
Exons: 2
Source: RefSeq, a predicted model, not a curated record